Molecule: ribosomal RNA, 407 nt
Filed under: uncultured bacterium
Lineage: Bacteria
Description: partial 16S ribosomal RNA
Rfam family: Bacterial small subunit ribosomal RNA
Source: RNAcentral
AUUGAACGCUAGCGGGAUGCCUUACACAUGCAAGUCGAACGGAGUGGCGAACGGGUGAGUAAUGUAUCGGAACGUGCCCAGUAGCGGGGGAUAACUACGCGAAAGCGUAGCUAAUACCGCAUACUAUUGGAUGGGCCGAUAUCGGAUUAGCUAGUUGGUGGGGUAACGGCUAACCAAGGCGACGAUCCUGAACUGGUUUGAGAGGACGACCAGUCACACUGGGACUGAGACACGGCCCAGACUCCUACGGGAGGCAGCAGUGGGGAAUUUUGGACAAUGGGCGAAACCCUGAUCCAGCCAUCCCGCGUGUGCGAUGAAGGCCUUCGGUUUGUAAAGCACUUUUGGCAGGGAAGCGGUACCGGCAGAAUAAGCACCGGCUAACUACGUGCCAGCCGCCGCGGUAAUAC